AUGCUGCCAAAACCGCGUUGGCCAACGCUGCUCUGCUGGCGCACCCGUCUCCGACCGCCCCUGUUGCUCUUACUACGGACGCCUCUGAUUACGCCGUGGGGGCUGUGUGUGAGCAGUGGGUGGUCAGUGGGUGGGCAGCCGCUGGCCUUUUUCAGCAGGAAGCUCCGCGACAACGAGAGGAAAUACAGCGCUUUCGACAGGGAGCUCCUGGCUCUUUUCCUCGCAACCCGUCAUUUCCGCUUCCUGUUGGAGGGCCGUCGGUUCACGGCUUUUGUUGACCACAAGCAGCUGACGUUCGCCAUGGCCAAGUCUUCGGAGCCAUGGUCUGGUCGACGGCAGCGUCAGCUCUCCGCCAUCUCGGAGUACACCACUGACGUUCAGCAUGUGGCCGACAAAGACAAUUUUGUAGCCGACUGCCUCUCUCGGGUGGUUAUUGGUUCCGUCCACUGCGGCCUCCACUACGCAGCUAUGGCUGGGGAUCAGGCUACGGACUCUGAGGUACAGGACUACAGGACAGCCCCCACGGCACUCCUCCUGGAGGAUGUGGUAUUUGGCACGGCCAACAAUACGCUCCUCUGCGACGUCUCCACUGGCCAACCGCGCCCCAUGGUGCCUGCUGGCUGGAGGCGUAAGGUCUUUAACACGAUCCACAGCCUUUCCCACCCGGGGGUGAAGACCUCUGCCAAGCUGGUGGGGGCCAAGUUUGUCUGGCCGGGCCUGCGGAAGCACGUCAGGGCCUGGGCCGCUGUCUGUGUGGCGUGCCAGCGUGCGAAGGUGACUCGUCAUACCAAAGCCCCCUUGGCACUCUUCAAAGUGCCGGAGAGGCGUUUCGACCAUGUGAAUGUGGACCUGGUGGGCCCGCUUUCACCCUCCCGUGGUUACACCUACCUCCUCACCAUGGUGGACAGGACCACCAGGUGGCCAGAAGGUUGGGUUCCCCUGUCCUCAACUACAGCAGCUGAGGUGGCCCGGGCAUUCGUUAUGGCUUGGGUGGCCUGUUUCGGCACACCGUCAGACCUUUCCUCGGACCGGGGGCCGCAGUUCACGUCGGAGCUUUGGACUGCGGUUGCCGGAGUCCUGGGUUUAGUGUGUGCAAAUACAAAAGGCUUUGUGUACAAUUCAUGUACCCUACUUGCCAAUCAUUUAUGUGGCAACUAA
RNAcentral lists this long non-coding RNA (1158 nucleotides) under Gadus morhua (Atlantic cod). Its description in RNAcentral is "lncRNA (ENSGMOG00000030448.1)". Lineage: Eukaryota; Metazoa; Chordata; Actinopteri; Gadiformes; Gadidae. The record is from RNAcentral.